This 253-nucleotide ribosomal RNA is filed under the name uncultured bacterium. RNAcentral describes it as "partial 16S ribosomal RNA". It matches the Rfam family "Bacterial small subunit ribosomal RNA", at positions 524 to 776 of the family's 1533-position model. The record is from RNAcentral.
UACGAAGGGUGCAAGCGUUACUCGGAAUUACUGGGCGUAAAGCGUGCGUAGGCGGCUCGUUAAGUCUGAUGUGAAAGCCCUCGGCUCAACCUGGGAAUUGCAUUGGAUACUGGCGAGCUAGAGUGCGGUAGAGGAUGGUGGAAUUCCCGGUGUAGCGGUGAAAUGCGUAGAGAUCGGGAGGAACAUCUGUGGCGAAGGCGGCCAUCUGGUCCAGCACUGACGCUGAGGCGCGAAAGCGUGGGGAGCAAACAGG